GUCUCAGUAGCACAGUGGUUAGUGCACAGCUAACGAUACGUUGAGACGCGGGUUCGAAUCCCGCCUGGGAUG
Molecule: transfer RNA, 72 nt
Filed under: Nippostrongylus brasiliensis
Lineage: Eukaryota; Metazoa; Nematoda; Chromadorea; Rhabditida; Heligmosomidae
Rfam family: tRNA
About the family: Transfer RNA (tRNA) molecules are approximately 80 nucleotides in length. Their secondary structure includes four short double-helical elements and three loops (D, anti-codon, and T loops).
Source: Rfam by way of RNAcentral